Molecule: ribosomal RNA, 253 nt
Filed under: uncultured bacterium
Lineage: Bacteria
Description: partial 16S ribosomal RNA
Rfam family: Bacterial small subunit ribosomal RNA
Source: RNAcentral
UACAGAGGUCCCGAGCGUUGUUCGGAUUCACUGGGCGUAAAGGGGGCGCAGGGGGCUUGGCAAGUUUGAUGUGAAAGCUCAGGGCUUAACCCUGAAAUGGCAUUGAAUACUGUUGAGCUGGAGGUUUGGAGGGGGGACUGGAAUUCUUGGUGUAGCAGUGAAAUGCGUAGAUAUCAGGAGGAACACCGAUGGCGAAGGCAGGUCUCUGGGCCGAUACUGACGCUGAGGAGCGAAAGCGUGGGGAGCGAACAGG